Molecule: transfer RNA, 66 nt
Filed under: Jacobsonina sp.
Lineage: Eukaryota; Metazoa; Arthropoda; Insecta; Blattodea; Blattellidae
Description: tRNA-Asn
Source: RNAcentral
UUAACUGAAACCAAAAAGAGGUAUAUUACUGUUAAUAAUAUAAUUGAACUAUAAAUUCCAGUUAAG